GUCUCGGUAGUCUAACGGCUUAGGACGCUCGCACGGAAUGCAAGAGAUCCGGGUUCGACUCUCGGCCGAAGCA
Molecule: non-coding RNA, 73 nt
Organism: Trachymyrmex septentrionalis
Lineage: Eukaryota; Metazoa; Arthropoda; Insecta; Hymenoptera; Formicidae
Source: Rfam